GCAGGAGGUGCUUUAGAACUUUUUGUUGAAAUACCGGGGUCACUGUGCGAUGUCUAUUCAAGACUGGGCAUCCGAUCAUCUCGGGCUUUUGCUUUGGGUUCAACUAUAAUAACUAAAGGGGAAGAAUUCACCAUAUGUAGAACCGCUCUUGGGAAUUCUUUCAAGAAUGGAUCUCUUAACAAUCCGAGACCUAUAUAUACAUGAAGCUGUAUUGUGG
Molecule: unclassified non-coding RNA, 217 nt
Filed under: Hevea brasiliensis (rubber tree)
Lineage: Eukaryota; Viridiplantae; Streptophyta; Magnoliopsida; Malpighiales; Euphorbiaceae
Source: RNAcentral